RNAcentral lists this ribosomal RNA (253 nucleotides) under uncultured bacterium. RNAcentral describes it as "partial 16S ribosomal RNA". It matches the Rfam family "Bacterial small subunit ribosomal RNA", at positions 524 to 776 of the family's 1533-position model. The record is from RNAcentral.
UACAGAGGGGGCAAGCGUUGUUCGGAAUUACUGGGCGUAAAGGGCGCGUAGGCGGCCCGCUAAGUCGAACGUGAAAUCCCCGAGCUCAACUCGGGAACUGCGUCCGAUACUGGUGGGCUUGAAUCCGGGAGAGGGAUGCGGAAUUCCAGGUGUAGCGGUGAAAUGCGUAGAUAUCUGGAGGAACACCGGUGGCGAAGGCGGCAUCCUGGACCGGCAUUGACGCUGAUGCGCGAAAGCGUGGGGAGCAAACGGG